RNAcentral lists this ribosomal RNA (441 nucleotides) under uncultured bacterium. Its description in RNAcentral is "partial 16S ribosomal RNA". It matches the Rfam family "Bacterial small subunit ribosomal RNA", at positions 338 to 795 of the family's 1533-position model. The record is from RNAcentral.
CCUACGGGAGGCAGCAGUCGGGAAUAUUGCGCAAUGGAGGAAACUCUGACGCAGUGACGCCGCGUAUAGGAAGAAGUUUUUCGGAAUGUAAACUAUUGUCGUUAGGGAAGAGAAAGGACAGUACCUAAGGAGGAAGCUCCGGCUAACUACGUGCCAGCAGCCGCGGUAAUACGUAGGGAGCGAGAGUUAUCCGGAAUUAUUGGGUGUAAAGGGUGCGUAGACGGGAAAACAAGUUAGUUGUGAAAUCCCUCGGCUUAACUGAGGAACUGCAACUAAAACUAUUUUUCUUGAGUGCAGGAGAGGAGAAUGGAAUUCCUAGUGUAGCGGUGAAAUGCGUAGAGAUUAGGAAGAACACCAGUGGCGAAGGCGAUUCUCUGGACUGUAACUGACGCUGAGGCUCGAAAGCGUGGGGAGCAAACAGGAUUAGAUACCCUGGUAGUC